Molecule: ribosomal RNA, 484 nt
Filed under: uncultured bacterium
Lineage: Bacteria
Description: partial 16S ribosomal RNA
Rfam family: Bacterial small subunit ribosomal RNA
Source: RNAcentral
AUUGAACGCUGGCGGCAGGCCUAACACAUGCAAGUCGAGCGGAUGAAGGGAGCUUGCUCCUGGAUUCAGCGGCGGACGGGUGAGUAAUGCCUAGGAAUCUGCCUGGUAGUGGGGGAUAACGUCCGGAAACGGGCGCUAAUACCGCAUACGUCCUGAGGGAGAAAGUGGGGGAUCUUCGGACCUCACGCUAUCAGAUGAGCCUAGGUCGGAUUAGCUAGUUGGUGGGGUAAAGGCCUACCAAGGCGACGAACCGUAACUGGUCUGAGAGGAUGAUCAGUCACACUGGAACUGAGACACGGUCCAGACUCCUACGGGAGGCAGCAGUGGGGAAUAUUGGACAAUGGGCGAAAGCCUGAUCCAGCCAUGCCGCGUGUGUGAAGAAGGUCUUCGGAUUGUAAAGCACUUUAAGUUGGGAGGAAGGGCAGUAAGUUAAUACCUUACUGUUUUGACGUUACCAACAGAAUAAGCACCGGCUAACUUCGUG